GCUGUCCCCAGCCGCCUCAGCAGUUUGAGAACUGCUCUUCCUUCCGUUUUUUCCAAAACUUUCACUACCGUCUUUUGGCUCGGCUUUGCUUGAUUUCCUGUUAAUGUUGUUUGCCCACUACCCGCAAGAGAAUUCGGUGCAGUGCAAACUUGCAGUUCUUGCGUGCUGGUUGUUUUUGUUUCCCCUGCAGACUUGAAAGGACUUAGUGCUCACACGCACACACACAAGCUCUCAUAGUUCAUGUUGCGGAACCCCUUCUCCUUUUACCCUUGAAAAGCAUAACGCCCAGAGAGAGGAAGUAAUUGCCCAGGGUGAGGAAGGGAGAUGGCUGGUCUUAUUGAAAGGGGUGUAAGGCGUAGAAUAGAAAAGAAGAUUUUUUCCCUUUCUUUUCUUCUCCAUUAUAGCCUUAGAUGAUUACUAAUAGAACGUGUAACCAAUUAAUGAAAUAUAUAUAUAUAUUUAACCUUAUGUUCCAGCUGAGAUUUUGUUGCAGUUACAAGUUGACCAGGAAAGAACAAAGACAUUUUUAACCCAGCUCUGAACCCACAUGCCAGGUCCCCAGGUUCCUAACAAUGCCUCAGAGCCCAAAAGGUGAACCAGGUGCCUUGUUAUUCAUCAUAAGCCCUGUCACCACAACUGGGUUUAUGUUAAUGAAAAUGACAUUUGCAAAGCACCUAAGGAUGGGGGCUGGCUGCCAGGGGAACCAACCCUGAACAGAGCUACAUAAUGAAACCUCCCUAACAAUACCCAAAAGGAGGAGGACGGGGAACCAGAACACAUCCAUGUGCCACCGUGCCAGACUCCAAGCUCCAUGAGGACAAUAGCCUCUUUGUUUGGACCUUGCUCCGUAUCUGUCUUCUCAAGUGGCCCAUGAUUGGUAUCUUUUAAUAUCCUCUGCAAUAAACGGAAAAUCUAGUGAAUAAACUCAGCUCACUUGAGUUCUGCAAGCUGAUUUGGUAAAUUAAUCAAACCCUAGAAGGGGGACCUGGGAACCUCUGAGUUGUAGCAUGUUGGUUAGAAGCACAGGUAACAACCUGGGCUUAAAACUGGCUUCUGGAGUGGAGAGUGUU
Molecule: long non-coding RNA, 1070 nt
Organism: Artibeus jamaicensis (Jamaican fruit-eating bat)
Lineage: Eukaryota; Metazoa; Chordata; Mammalia; Chiroptera; Phyllostomidae
Exons: 3
Source: RefSeq, a predicted model, not a curated record